Molecule: transfer RNA, 77 nt
Filed under: Salmonella enterica subsp. enterica serovar Infantis
Lineage: Bacteria; Pseudomonadati; Pseudomonadota; Gammaproteobacteria; Enterobacterales; Enterobacteriaceae
Description: tRNA-OTHER
Rfam family: tRNA
About the family: Transfer RNA (tRNA) molecules are approximately 80 nucleotides in length.
Source: RNAcentral
GUGGCUAUAGCUCAGUUGGUAGAGCCCUGGAUGUGAUUCCAGUUGUCGUGGGUUCGAAUCCCCCAUUAGCCACCCCA